This 304-nucleotide long non-coding RNA is filed under the name Hordeum vulgare. RNAcentral's name for it is "long non-coding RNA (HVUL_LNC009545)". The record is from RNAcentral. Lineage: Eukaryota; Viridiplantae; Streptophyta; Magnoliopsida; Poales; Poaceae.
GGGGUGGGAUUCUGGGCGAUUUUAGGCCAUUGGAUGGGGAUCCCAGGGUCAAAAUUUGCAUUGGGGGUAGGAUUUCAGGAUCUGGAGUGUUUCUUUUAUAACACACAAACUUUAUAUAUCAUGGCAUAAUGUCCAUACAAAUAGUUUUCCGGAUGCAUUCCGGAGACACACCACGCCAAACAUGACAUUCUAGCUGAUUACAUGAUCUAGUCAACAAAUGUGCAACAACAUUUUGUUCCUACGCACAUGAAAUAUAGAACAACUCGUGAAGGAAGCUCUAAGUUGCUUGAUAUCCUGAAUCACA